GGCCGCGGGAAUUCGAUUUGGCUCAGCUUGUACACACCGCCCGUAGAGUUUGAUCAUGGCUCAGCUUGUACACACCGCCCGUAGAGUUUGAUCAUGGCUCAGCUUGUACACAACGCCCGUAGAGUUUGAUCAUGGCUCAGCUUGUACACACCGCCCGUAGAGUUUGAUCCUGGCUCAGCUUGUACGCACCGCCCGUAGAGUUUGAUCAUGGCUCAGCUUGUACACACCGCCCGUAGAGUUUGAUCCUGGCUCAGCUUGUACACACCGCCCGUAGAGUUUGAUCAUGGCUCAGCUUGUACACACCGCCCGUAGAGUUUGAUCCUGGCUCAGCUUGUACACACCGCCCGUAAGUUUGAUCAUGGCUCAGGAUGAACGCUAGCGGGAGGCCUAACACAUGCAAGCCGAGCGGUAUGGAUAGCUUGCUAUCCAGAGAGCGGCGUACGGGUGCGUAACACGUGUGCAACCUGCCUUUAUCUGGGGGAUAGCCUUUCGAAAGGAAGAUUAAUACCCCAUAAUAUGGUGUCCGGCAUCGGUCGCCAUUGAAAGCCUCGGCGGAUAGAGAUGGGCACGCGCAAGAUUAGAUAGUUGGCGGGGUAACGGCCCACCAAGUCGAUGAUCUUUAGGGGUCCUGAGAGGGAGAUCCCCCACACUGGUACUGAGACACGGACCAGACUCCUACGGGAGGCAGCAGUGAGGAAUAUUGGACAAUGGGUGGAAGCCUGAUCCAGCCAUCCCGCGUGAAGGAUGACGGUCCUAUGGAUUGUAAACUUCUUUUGUACAGGGAUAAACCUGCCCUCGUGAGGGCAGCUGAAGGUACUGUACGAAUAACACCGGCUAACUCCGUGCCAGCAGCCGCGGUAUACGAGGUGCGAGCGUUUCCGAUUAUUUUAAAGGGCCGUAGCGCUGUAGUCAAAAUCUCAUAGCUUAACUAUGAAACUGCCAUUGAUCGCAGCUG
This 955-nucleotide ribosomal RNA is filed under the name uncultured Chryseobacterium sp. RNAcentral's name for it is "bacterial SSU rRNA". The stretch from base 341 to 955 matches the Rfam family "Bacterial small subunit ribosomal RNA", at positions 1 to 643 of the family's 1533-position model. The record is from RNAcentral. Lineage: Bacteria; Pseudomonadati; Bacteroidota; Flavobacteriia; Flavobacteriales; Weeksellaceae.